UCGAUUCCCUUAGUAGCGGCGAGCGAAACGGGAAGAGCCCAAACCAACAAGCUUGCUUGUUGGGGUUGUAGGACACUCUAUACGGAGUUACAAAGGACGACAUUAGACGAAUCAUCUGGAAAGAUGAAUCAAAGAAGGUAAUAAUCCUGUAGUCGAAAAUGUUGUCUCUCUUGAGUGGAUCCUGAGUACGACGGAGCACGUGAAAUUCCGUCGGAAUCUGGGAGGACCAUCUCCUAAGGCUAAAUACUCUCUAGUGACCGAUAGUGAACCAGUACCGUGAGGGAAAGGUGAAAAGCACCCCGGAAGGGGAGUGAAAUAGAACCUGAAACCGUGUGCUUACAAGUAGUCAGAGCCCGUUAAUGGGUGAUGGCGUGCCUUUUGUAGAAUGAACCGGCGAGUUACGAUUUGAUGCAAGGUUAAGCAGUAAAUGUGGAGCCGUAGCGAAAGCGAGUCUGAAUAGGGCGUUUAGUAUUUGGUCGUAGACCCGAAACCAGGUGAUCUACCCUUGGUCAGGUUGAAGUUCAGGUAACACUGAAUGGAGGACCGAACCGACUUACGUUGAAAAGUGAGCGGAUGAACUGAGGGUAGCGGAGAAAUUCCAAUCGAACCUGGAGAUAGCUGGUUCUCUCCGAAAUAGCUUUAGGGCUAGCCUCAAGUGAUGAUUAUUGGAGGUAGAGCACUGUUUGGACGAGGGGCCCCUCUCGGGUUACCGAAUUCAGACAAACUCCGAAUGCCAAUUAAUUUAACUUGGGAGUCAGAACAUGGGUGAUAAGGUCCGUGUUCGAAAGGGAAACAGCCCAGACCACCAGCUAAGGUCCCAAAAUAUAUGUUAAGUGGAAAAGGAUGUGGCGUUGCCCAGACAACUAGGAUGUUGGCUUAGAAGCAGCCAUCAUUUAAAGAGUGCGUAAUAGCUCACUAGUCGAGUGACACUGCGCCGAAAAUGUACCGGGGCUAAACAUAUUACCGAAGCUGUGGAUUGUCCUUUGGACAAUGGUAGGAGAGCGUUCUAAGGGCGUUGAAGCAUGAUCGUAAGGACAUGUGGAGCGCUUAGAAGUGAGAAUGCCGGUGUGAGUAGCGAAAGACGGGUGAGAAUCCCGUCCACCGAUUGACUAAGGUUUCCAGAGGAAGGCUCGUCCGCUCUGGGUUAGUCGGGUCCUAAGCUGAGGCCGACAGGCGUAGGCGAUGGAUAACAGGUUGAUAUUCCUGUACCACCUAUAAUCGUUUUAAUCGAUGGGGGGACGCAGUAGGAUAGGCGAAGCGUGCGAUUGGAUUGCACGUCUAAGCAGUAAGGCUGAGUAUUAGGCAAAUCCGGUACUCGUUAAGGCUGAGCUGUGAUGGGGAGAAGACAUUGUGUCUUCGAGUCGUUGAUUUCACACUGCCGAGAAAAGCCUCUAGAUAGAAAAUAGGUGCCCGUACCGCAAACCGACACAGGUAGUCAAGAUGAGAAUUCUAAGGUGAGCGAGCGAACUCUCGUUAAGGAACUCGGCAAAAUGACCCCGUAACUUCGGGAGAAGGGGUGCUCUUUAGGGUUAACGCCCAGAAGAGCCGCAGUGAAUAGGCCCAAGCGACUGUUUAUCAAAAACACAGGUCUCUGCUAAACCGUAAGGUGAUGUAUAGGGGCUGACGCCUGCCCGGUGCUGGAAGGUUAAGAGGAGUGGUUAGCUUCUGCGAAGCUACGAAUCGAAGCCCCAGUAAACGGCGGCCGUAACUAUAACGGUCCUAAGGUAGCGAAAUUCCUUGUCGGGUAAGUUCCGACCCGCACGAAAGGCGUAACGAUUUGGGCACUGUCUCAACGAGAGACUCGGUGAAAUCAUAGUACCUGUGAAGAUGCAGGUUACCCGCGACAGGACGGAAAGACCCCGUGGAGCUUUACUGUAGCCUGAUAUUGAAAUUCGGCACAGCUUGUACAGG
This 1911-nucleotide ribosomal RNA is filed under the name Staphylococcus aureus. RNAcentral describes it as "partial 23S ribosomal RNA". It matches the Rfam family "Bacterial large subunit ribosomal RNA", at positions 231 to 2142 of the family's 2925-position model. The record is from RNAcentral. Lineage: Bacteria; Bacillati; Bacillota; Bacilli; Caryophanales; Staphylococcaceae.